CAGUCGCCACGGUAAUACGGAGGGUGCAAGCGUUAAUCGGAAUUACUGGACGUAAAGCGUGCGUAGGCGGUUCGUUAAGUCUGUUGUGAAAGCCCCGGGCUCAACCUGGGAAUGGCAAUGGAUACUGGCGAGCUAGAGUGUGUCAGAGGAUGGUGGAAUUCCCGGUGUAGCGGUGAAAUGCGUAGAGAUCGGGAGGAACAUCAGUGGCGAAGGCGGCCAUCUGGGACAACACUGACGCUGAGGCACGAAAGCGUGGGGAGCAAACAGGAUUAGAUACCCGCGUAGUCCCUGUCUCUUAUAC
This 301-nucleotide ribosomal RNA is filed under the name uncultured bacterium. RNAcentral describes it as "partial 16S ribosomal RNA". It matches the Rfam family "Bacterial small subunit ribosomal RNA", at positions 509 to 807 of the family's 1533-position model. The record is from RNAcentral.